Molecule: unclassified non-coding RNA, 215 nt
Filed under: Hevea brasiliensis (rubber tree)
Lineage: Eukaryota; Viridiplantae; Streptophyta; Magnoliopsida; Malpighiales; Euphorbiaceae
Source: RNAcentral
AUUGGCCUUGAGUAUAUUAAAGCUUGAAAUGUAGUUGCAAUGUAUGCAAACUCCUGCCCCCAUGAAAUCAUUUAAAAAGGACCUGGAUACUUGAUCGAAAUGAAUUGGUUAGCAAUCCAUUUUCGGAUAUAUUUGCUUAGAAUAGCAUAUGCGACUCAUCUGGGAACCCAAUGAGGCGGCACCGGACGUCAAAAUUGAAAUCAGUUAAAGUAGGG